AACGAACGCUGGCGGCAUGCCUAACACAUGCAAGUCGAACGAGACCUUCGGGUCUAGUGGCGCACGGGUGCGUAACGCGUGGGAACCUGCCCUUAGGUUCGGAAUAACUCCCCGAAAGGGGUGCUAAUACCGGAUAAUGUCUUCGGACCAAAGAUUUAUCGCCUUUGGAUGGGCCCGGGUUGGAUUAGCUAGUUGGUAGGGUAAAAGCCUACCAAGGCGACGAUCCAUAGCUGGUCUGAGAGGAUGAUCAGCCACACUGGGACUGAGACACGGCCCAGACUCCUACGGGAGGCAGCAGUGGGGAAUAUUGGAGAAUGGGCGAAAGCCUGAUCCAGCAAUGCCGCGUGAGUGAUGAAGGCCUUAGGGUUGUAAAGCUCUUUUACCCGGGAUGAUAAUGACAGUACCGGGAGAAUAAGCUCCGGCUAACUCCGUG
Molecule: ribosomal RNA, 433 nt
Filed under: uncultured bacterium
Lineage: Bacteria
Description: partial 16S ribosomal RNA
Rfam family: Bacterial small subunit ribosomal RNA
Source: RNAcentral